AGAGUUUGAUCAUGGCUCAGAACGAACGCUGGCGGCGUGCUUAACACAUGCAAGUCGCGUGCGCAGUCCGUAGCAAUACGGAUGGGCGCACGGCGCACGGGUGCGUAACACGUGGGCAAUCUGCCCUCUGAUGGGGAAUAACCCGCCGAAAGGCGGGCUAAUUCCGCAUAAGAUUCCCGGGACUUCGGUUCUGGGAUUGAAAGCAGUAAUGCGUCGGAGGAGGAGCCCGCGCCCGAUUAGCUAGUUGGUGAGGUAACGGCUCACCAAGGCAAUGAUCGGUAGCUGGUCUGAGAGGAUGAUCAGCCACACUGGAACUGAGACACGGUCCAGACUCCUACGGGAGGCAGCAGUGGGGAAUCUUGCACAAUGGGCGAAAGCCUGAUGCAGCGACGCCGCGUGGGGGAUGAAGCAUUUCGGUGUGUAAACCCCUUUCGACUGGGAAGAAUACCUCGCAAGAGGGGUGACGGUACCAGUAGAAGAAGCCCCGGCUAACUACGUGCCAGCAGCCGCGGUAAGACGUAGGGGGCCAGCGUUGUUCGGAAUUACUGGGUGUAAAGGGUUCGUAGGCGGUGCGGCAAGUUGGGAGUGAAAAUCUCUGGGCUUAACCCAGAGGCUGCUUCCAAAACUGCUGUGCUCGAGUGUGGGAGAGGCGCGUGGAAUUGCAGGUGUAGCGGUGAAAUGCGUAGAUAUCUGCAGGAACACCCGUGGCGAAAGCGGCGCGCUGGACCACUACUGACGCUGAGGAACGAAAGCUAGGGGAGCAAACAGGAUUAGAUACCCCGGUAGUCC
This 789-nucleotide ribosomal RNA is filed under the name uncultured bacterium. RNAcentral describes it as "bacterial SSU rRNA". It matches the Rfam family "Bacterial small subunit ribosomal RNA", at positions 8 to 796 of the family's 1533-position model. The record is from RNAcentral.